GUGACGCUACGGGAGCUACACAUGCACGCGAGCGGUAGAGUCUCUUCGGAGACUUGACGAGCGGCGCACGGGUGCGGAACACGUGUGCAACCUGCCUUUAUCUGGGGGAUAGCCUUUCGAAAGGAAGAUUAAUACCCCAUAAUAUACUGAAUGGCAUCAUCCUGGUAUUGAAAACUCCGGUGGAUAGAGAUGGGCACGCGCAAGAUUAGAUAGUUGGUGAGGUAACGGCUCACCAAUGUCAGCGAUCUUUAGGGGGCCUGAGAGGGUGAUCCCCCACACUGGUACUGAGACACGGACCAGACUCCUACGGGAGGCAGCAGUGAGGAAUAUUGGACAAUGGGUGAGAGCCUGAUCCAGCCAUCCCGCGUGAAGGACGACGGCCCUAUGGGUUGUAAACUUCUUUUGUAUAGGGAUAAACCUAGAUACGUGUAUCUAGCUGAAGGUACUAUACGAAUAAGCACCGGCUAACUCCGUGCCAGCAGCCGCGGUAAUACGGAGGGUGCAAGCGUUAUCCGGAUUUAUUGGGUUUAAAGGGUCCGUAGGCNGAUCUGUAAGUCAGUGGUGAAAUCUCACAGCUUAACUGUGAAACUGCCAUUGAUACUGCAAGUCUUGAGUGUUGUUGAAGUAGCUGGAAUAAGUAGUGUAGCGGUGAAAUGCAUAGAUAUUACUUAGA
Molecule: ribosomal RNA, 673 nt
Filed under: Chryseobacterium indologenes
Lineage: Bacteria; Pseudomonadati; Bacteroidota; Flavobacteriia; Flavobacteriales; Weeksellaceae
Description: bacterial SSU rRNA
Rfam family: Bacterial small subunit ribosomal RNA
Source: RNAcentral